CAGGAGGCCCAGCCUCGUGAUGAGGAAUAGCAAGGAGAGAAUUCAGCUCCAGUUCGAAAGCCUGCAAAAUCUGAGCCCCUCACUGCUUUUAUAAGGAUUCCAGCUUUCUCUCCUGGCCAGAAAUGUUCACCCUGGACUCAUUCAGAAAAGAUCGGACCCAGCACAGGCAGCGUCAAUGCAAGCUUCCCCCACCCCGCCUUCCACCCAUGUGUGUCAACCCUGCCCCUGGAGGGACCAUCUCUCGAGGUAAGAGCAGGAUUCUUGCUUCCAGUAAGAGCUUGGUCUGAGAUCCGUGGGUAGGUGGGUGGCAGUGGAAACCCUGUACUGGGGUCAUGCUUCUAGAAAAUGAGUCACAAGGCUAGGUAAGCUUGGCAAAGAAGACAGACCCCAAGAGAGAAAAUACAAUAGGUUUUUCAUGGUCCUU
This 424-nucleotide long non-coding RNA is filed under the name Rattus norvegicus (Norway rat). RNAcentral's name for it is "long non-coding RNA NONRATT029007". Lineage: Eukaryota; Metazoa; Chordata; Mammalia; Rodentia; Muridae. The record is from RNAcentral.